GAUGAACGCUAGCGGCAGGCCUAAUACAUGCAAGACGAACGGUAAGUUGAGUAGCAAUACUUAGCCAAGAGUGUCGUACGGGUGCGUAACACGUAUGCAACCUACCCUAUACAGGAGGAUAGCCUAGGGAAACCUGGAUUAACCCUUCAUAGUAUUAUUGGAUGGCAUCAUUUGAUAAUUAAAACUGAGGUGGUAUAGGAUGGGCAUGCGUCUGAUUAGUUAGUUGGCGGGGUAAUGGCCCACCAAGACGAUGAUCAGUAGGGGUUCUGAGAGGAAGAUCCCCCACACUGGCACUGAGAUACGGGCCAGACUCCUACGGGAGGCAGCAGUAGGGAAUAUUGGUCAAUGGAUGCAAGUCUGAACCAGCCAUGCCGCGUGCAGGAAGAAGGCCUUCUGGGGUUGUAAACUGCUUUUGCCAGGGGGAUAAAAUUUCCAUGCGUGGAAAACUGAAGGUACCUGGUGAAUAAGCCACGGCUAACUACGUGCCAGCAG
Molecule: ribosomal RNA, 492 nt
Filed under: uncultured bacterium
Lineage: Bacteria
Description: bacterial SSU rRNA
Rfam family: Bacterial small subunit ribosomal RNA
Source: RNAcentral